This 163-nucleotide ribosomal RNA is filed under the name Lysinibacillus sp. RNAcentral's name for it is "partial 16S ribosomal RNA". It matches the Rfam family "Bacterial small subunit ribosomal RNA", at positions 221 to 383 of the family's 1533-position model. Lineage: Bacteria; Bacillati; Bacillota; Bacilli; Caryophanales; Bacillaceae. The record is from RNAcentral.
UAGGAUGGGCCCGCGGCGCAUUAGCUAGUUGGUGAGGUAACGGCUCACCAAGGCGACGAUGCGUAGCCGACCUGAGAGGGUGAUCGGCCACACUGGGACUGAGACACGGCCCAGACUCCUACGGGAGGCAGCAGUAGGGAAUCUUCCACAAUGGGCGAAAGUC